CUGGAUUAGCACCUGCAGUGGGUUUGGCUCUGAGCUUAUGAUUUGGGUUCAAGGAAACAUCUGGGCUAUGGAUUAUGUGCUACAACACUGACAUUGCACCUCCAGUUCUAGGCCCCAGUACUGGGAUGAGGUAAGAUUAUGAGAUGGUCAAACUAUGGAAGGAUUGAGAAACAGCAGCUGUUCUGAAAAAACGAAUCAAAUCCAAUCCAUAAUGUAUUAGCAAAGAACUGUAAUCCUUAAUAUAGAGGUGUGACACAUAGAUUUCACAUCAGUGUGCUUAUUUUCAUGCCAAGUGUGAUUUAUUUUUUGUUUUGUUUCUACCGUAAGUCUAACAAUCAGUACAUGCUGUGGUGUAGAUAUCAUUGUUCCAACUUCCAUUUGGGAGAAACUGUAUUAUGGGCAGCACUCUGCGCUACCAGCCUGAUUCCAUGCCUACCUAGAAAGCUGUGCUCUUCUGCAUGACUAUUGCUACAGGUUCCUCUGAACAAUUAUGUUACUUUAUAGGCCAAUAAGCUCUAGAAAAACAACGCACUCAAGAUGAAUAUUUCAACCAGAUUCCGGGGGAGGGAAAAAAAAAAAUAUAAUUAUAUAAAGCAGCAGAGAAUGGCAAAAUCUACAGUUUUAUGAAAACAUUCCCCUGAUUUCCAAACUCUGAAGAGAUCCAAACAGUGACGUGACUUAGAGGUGACUACUGCUGCAGAGUGUGAAUGGAAUCAGACACACUGAAGACCCACUCAGAUGCUCACCUACAUCAUUCUCUGGGUGUACUGAAUUGAAUGGAGCUCCUGCCCUCUACUUUAACUGGGAAAAGUAUUUUUCUUUUUGUUUCAUAUCACAAACUGUGUGGGUUUCCCCUCCCUGGUACCACCACCAGGGCCCCAGAUGGAGAUUUUGGCAGAUGUGGGCAAUCCAGGAGUAAGUGCCUCCCAGAGCUGGAUCUGGAGCAGAUCGAAAUGCGGACACAGAUCAGGUCGGCUGCUCUUCCACAGUUGUGGCAUCCUCCCAAGUCCUUGUUGCAAAGCAGAAGUCCUCAUUUCGGGUGCCAACAUCCCCUGAGCAGAUGGAAGUGUCAUCAGUGCUCUGUGACACGACACCGAGACUCUGGCACUGUCAGAAAACUCCAUAUGUUUGUCAGACCUAAUUGGAGUGCUCUCACCACCUCUGGAGAGAACUGAUGGGGUGGGGUACAUUGGCACAAUAUGUCCACUGGAUUGAGACACUCAGGGCUGGGUGCCAUCUGCAGCUGGGGCUGUUAGUUGGGCUGAUUCUGGACUGUGCAGUUUCCAUCACAAAGGAAGGCUCCAGCUCCUGUGCUGGAGCAAAAAGGGGAAACAUCUGCCUUAAGGAAAUAUGAUUCUUCCUUUAUUUCUUUCAUUCAAUAUUGAAUUCUACGUGAUAUUUCCAUGUGCAACCAUCAAGGCAUAUUCUGUCAUGCUGUUAUGAAAAGUUUCACAAUUGGACUCAGGAGACCAUCAGCUCCGAUGGGCUCUAAAACCAUUCCACGAACUCUGAGUUAGUCUCCAAGGUACUCCCUGGCCUUCCCACACCAGCUUUACCCCAGUGCUUCUGCUCCUGCCCGUCGAAACAGAGCCUUGAAAAGUUCUGAACCCAGAAACAGGUCCUUUUCUUGGGUGAGGACAGAUUUUAGAUCCAUCCUCCUAACUCUGCUGUCAACCAGCUGUGAGUUGUUGCCUUGAUUGUUACUGCGCGCUGCUGCUUUUCUCUAUUAACAACUGCACACACCUAUCAGCUCCAGAUAAAACAAACUUCCUGGGGACUGAUUUCAUGAUGCCAAAAUGAUAAAGUUGGCUAAAAAAUGUAGAGCGAAUGUGUGAGCUCUGGAAAACAUUAACAAAAAUAACCAAGUAACACUCCCCAUUCAUACCUAAUUCCUACCGACAUCAAAUUUAGCUGUGUGUACUUUGGACCCGCUAGAACUCAACUCCUAUUUGAAAUGCCCAGCUUGUAGUCUGAUUACUCCAUAAAAAAAGAUGUGUUGUCAACACUGUAGUUUAGGCAGAUUCUCCAUUGUCUGAUCUCUUGUUAUGGGCAUUUACAUCAACACGGAGUGGGUGUACAGCAGCCAGCAGUCUGUGUUAGCAGCACUUUGCAGUCAGUUUGCGCUUACGUAAAGGAUUGUGCAAGAUGUGAGAGGGAAUCUAGCCCCUGGGAAUUGUGUGUGUUUUUGGGUGUAAUCUUGGUGUGCGUAGCCAACACAUGAGAAUAUAGAGAAGUUUUAACAUGCUGUGGCUGCCAUCACCCCAAAUAAAUAGAAUGAACCACAGAGCUGUCAGUCGCACUCACAAACAGGAGCCAGAAUAGCCCGUGUUUUGUGGUGGCAGAUACAUAGAAAUAUGAGCCUGUAAGGAGCGAUAUAUUGCUCUGUUUUUCAUAGUGUUGUUCACCGCAUUCUCAUACCAGUCAGAUAAAAAACUCUUUGGGCCAAAGAAGGGUUCUGAAAAACAUUACAGCCUAUGCAGUUUCCCAAGAUGUCUCUUUGCAGCUCAGAAGAAAACUGGUGAUUUCUGUUCCAUUGGGCAGAAUUGGAUUGUGACUCUGGUUUAGAGAAGCCAAUAUCGCUGCAGUCAUUGGGACAGCCCAGAAAGAAAGCAUUAUGAAGGUAUGUUUAUGGAGCGGGGCCAUGUGUUCCUUCCUCCCACCUCAGAGCCAUAAAUGCUGCAUAUCCCACUCUGUAGCGUGAAGGUGUCCCAGCAGAGGUAUUAAUGUGGUGCUAUCCGGGGGCAGGAGGAAAUGGAGGCACCUUACCCACGUGCUCCCCAAGGGUCUGCCAUAUGUUGGUUGAAAAUCUUUGACAAGACUCAAAAUACCAUUAAAGCUUUUCUGAGCCUUUUAAAUUUAUUUAUUUUCACAGCAUUGGUGACAGUGCAUAGGAAAGGGACACUUGCUGGUAGCAGCAUGGCUCAUACCCAUAGAUCUCCAGUGCCAAGCAGGAAUAGCCCUCCAAGUCAUCAGAAAGUCAGGAUGCAGCCAUUACAGAUGGUUCUCUCUAUAGAGGUUUGUGAUCUUCUUUUUGCUGCCCAGAGCCCACAGCCUCAGUUGGAGGAGCAAAGCAGGAACCAAGAGCAGCCGCUGGCUGCAUGCUUCAUUCUCCUGAGGUUUCCCAGUGGUGGGCCAUCAUGGGUUCCCAGCACAAGGCAAGGAUAUCUAUAUGCUGGCAAGGGAAUUUGUUUUCCUCUGACCUAAUGCUUAGAAACUGCUGAACCAGUUUUGCUGAGACCUUACAAAUCCUUAGCAUGAGGCAAAUUUCCCCAGAAGAGAAUUUUUUCCACCCGAAAGAUUUAGAUUUGGCAUAAAUCAUGAUCUGGUGAACGUAGAGGUGUAGGACGGAAAAUGAUAAGCCCCUGCCAGCUCUGCCUGCAACAACAACUCACAUGUUGUCCACUGCUUUUUAACCAAGAUUUGUCCUAUUUUGCUACAACUAAUUAAUACUUCUGAACUAAUGUUGUUUUGCUAUAGCUAAUGAAUAUUUUAACCUGCCUGAUGCUUGUUAUGGUUGUAUCUCAUUGAUAAAUGGUGAGGAGGAGAUGUGAGAGGUGAAUGUCUACCAGAUGAGUGAUCUGGAAGAUGGAACGAAGGCUGACAUCACGCCACAAUACGUGGUGCUGUUGUCUGAAGCUGUCUGGCUGCCAUAGUGCUAGGAAAAUCAGAGAGGUGAUCUCCCUCCUAUUUCCUCCUUGGAUGGGGUUCAAGGCUGCGGCCUCACCUCUCUUGGAAGCAGCUUGCAAUGCCUUCAAUAAUGGGAAGGGUUGGAAUGGUUGGGGGCGGGACCCUCCUGGAAAGCACCAGGUACCACUGGGAGAUGGGCUCUGCUGCACCGCCUGCAAAUUUUGCACAGCCCUACAUGGUUAUUUUGGCUAGGGUGAUUAAUCUCUGGUCCCGCAGUAUCACUGAGGGUGCUAUUAUGGGCAGACUCCCAUUUCUGAGAGCAGAAGCCAAGCAAGUUCCUCUCCAGAAAACCAUGCCAGCGGGAACCGAACGAGCGGGGUGAGCUGGGCAUUCUGUGCUCCUGGACCCACUGCUCCUAUAAAUUGCAGAGUUUCUUUGUUGUCUGCAAAGACAACCCCAUGAAUCAGAAAUCUUCUGGGGGGUGUCUGCAGGUAAUCGAGUGUGGGGAGCUGUGGAGAGCACCGCCUGGAGGCUGCAGCCAUCUUCAGGAGCUCCGCAUUCCCGGUGCUCCGACGUUAGGUGUUUGGUUUGUACUCUCCAUGGAUCUUUUGUCGGAUUUUAUUGGUUUGUUGAUCUUUGCCGUGUUGGCGGUAUCCCUCCGCCCACUGCUGCCCGCAGCACGGUGGGACUCCCGGGCACGGCAGGGCAGGGCCGCCCCGCGCCCUUCAGCUCCACAGCCAUGACACAGAGGGGCAGCCCGGCGGGAGGAUCCCUGUGGCUCCGGGCAGCGCGAUGCCGCUCCCGACCCCGACAGGAGGGUUCAGGUAGUUGGGUCAGGGCCGGCAGAGACGGCGAAGAGGAAGGGGGGCCCGGAUUCGUUUUAUUAAGUUCGUUUUUCGCUCGUUCCCUCAGCUAGGAGCCUCUCGAAGGGGAUUUUGCAGAGAGCGAUCGGCAGGACAGAGCCCCGUCGUUAUUACAGAACUAAUGAGUUCUCCAGGCGCUCCCUUCGGGCCGAGGUGCGGGGAUGCCCCGUGUCCUCCCCCUCCUCCUCGUCCCCUCUCUCCCCCCCCAGCAGUUCUCGACUCAGCGAGAGAACUAGGAAUAAGAAUGGGAAAUGUUUUUUAAUCACGAAGGAGCGAAUUUUCAUUUCUUUUUCUCCCUCUCUCCGAGGAACUGCCGUGCUCCACACAGGGACCGCCGAGGAGAAAUAAGCCUGGUGCGGACGCCCCGUCCCGGGCGGCUGCGGAUCCCUCGGUGCCACCGUGGGCGCUCCGCGUUCGUCGCAGAGUUGGGACCGCAGCUCUCCGCCAGAGCUGCGCUGUGUCCCUCCCGACGAAAAGUCCAACAGAACGCAGUUCCAAAAAGAAAGGGAAAAGCGUUGGGAAGCACAGACUGUAACGCCCCGCGGAGGGCAGCGGGUCAGAGCCUCCCGCGCCCCCAUUAAGUGCUCCGAGCUGCAAAUCCAACACUUCCAGCCCAGCCAUGAGCUAACCAACCCCCUUGGACGGAGCAAUGCCUCGGAGACCGGGAGCGGAGAGAAAAAAUAAUCAGAACUGUCAGCCCGCUUGACGUGUACCUGAUAUUUACAAGACACAAGACCGCGCUUUAAAGGUGAGUUUUGGCAUUUGUUAACAACAUAAAGAAAAAAAUCCAACCUCCUGAUAUUAUUAAAAUAUAUAUAUAUUUCCAUUUCCACAACA
Long non-coding RNA from Meleagris gallopavo (turkey), 5327 nucleotides. RefSeq lists it as uncharacterized. The record is from RefSeq and is a predicted model, not a curated record. NCBI's taxonomy places the organism in Eukaryota, Metazoa, Chordata, Aves, Galliformes, Phasianidae.